UACGAAGGGGGCUAGCGUUGUUCGGAAUUACUGGGCGUAAAGCGCGCGCAGGCGGUCUUCCAAGUCAGUGGUGAAAGCCCGGAGCUCAACUCCGGAACUGCCAUUGAAACUGUAAGACUUGAGGAUGAGAGAGGUGAGUGGAAUUCCCAGUGUAGAGGUGAAAUUCGUAGAUAUUGGGAAGAACACCGGUGGCGAAGGCGGCUCACUGGCUCAUUUCUGACGCUCAGGCGCGACAGCGUGGGGAUCAAAC
Molecule: ribosomal RNA, 250 nt
Filed under: uncultured bacterium
Lineage: Bacteria
Description: partial 16S ribosomal RNA
Rfam family: Bacterial small subunit ribosomal RNA
Source: RNAcentral